This 227-nucleotide ribosomal RNA is filed under the name uncultured bacterium. RNAcentral describes it as "partial 16S ribosomal RNA". It matches the Rfam family "Bacterial small subunit ribosomal RNA", at positions 524 to 747 of the family's 1533-position model. The record is from RNAcentral.
UACGUAGGGUGCAAGCGUUGUCCGGAAUUAUUGGGCGAAAGAGCUCGUAGGCGGUCUGUCGCGUCGGGCUGUGAAAUCCCGAGGCUCAACCUCGGGUCUGCAGUCGAUACGGGGCAGACUAGAGUGCUGUAGGGGAGACUGGAAUUCCUGGUGUAGCGGUGAAAUGCGCAGAUAUCAGGAGGAACACCGGUGGCGAAGGCGGGGUCUCUGGGGCAGUAACUGACGCU